UGGGGCGUCGCCAAGCGGUAAGGCAGCGGGUUUUGAUCCCGCCAUCCGGAGGUUCGAAUCCUUCCGCCCCAGCCA
RNAcentral lists this transfer RNA (75 nucleotides) under Povalibacter uvarum. RNAcentral describes it as "tRNA-Gln". It matches the Rfam family "tRNA". Rfam says of the family: Transfer RNA (tRNA) molecules are approximately 80 nucleotides in length. Their secondary structure includes four short double-helical elements and three loops (D, anti-codon, and T loops). Further hydrogen bonds mediate the characteristic L-shaped molecular structure. tRNAs have two regions of fundamental functional importance: the anti-codon, which is responsible for specific mRNA codon recognition, and the 3' end, to which the tRNAs corresponding amino acid is attached (by aminoacyl-tRNA synthetases). tRNAs cope with the degeneracy of the genetic code in two manners: having more than one tRNA (with a specific anti-codon) for a particular amino acid; and 'wobble' base-pairing, i.e. permitting non-standard base-pairing at the 3rd anti-codon position. RNAcentral also lists the same sequence under 2 other names. The record is from RNAcentral. Lineage: Bacteria; Pseudomonadati; Pseudomonadota; Gammaproteobacteria; Steroidobacterales; Steroidobacteraceae.